Molecule: transfer RNA, 76 nt
Filed under: Bacillota bacterium
Lineage: Bacteria; Bacillati; Bacillota
Also listed under: 5 other names
Description: tRNA-Ala
Rfam family: tRNA
About the family: Transfer RNA (tRNA) molecules are approximately 80 nucleotides in length. Their secondary structure includes four short double-helical elements and three loops (D, anti-codon, and T loops). Further hydrogen bonds mediate the characteristic L-shaped molecular structure. tRNAs have two regions of fundamental functional importance: the anti-codon, which is responsible for specific mRNA codon recognition, and the 3' end, to which the tRNAs corresponding amino acid is attached (by aminoacyl-tRNA synthetases). tRNAs cope with the degeneracy of the genetic code in two manners: having more than one tRNA (with a specific anti-codon) for a particular amino acid; and 'wobble' base-pairing, i.e. permitting non-standard base-pairing at the 3rd anti-codon position.
Source: RNAcentral
GGGGCCUUAGCUCAGCUGGGAGAGCGCCUGCCUUGCACGCAGGAGGUCAGGGGUUCGAGCCCCCUAGGCUCCACCA